UACAGAGGGCCCAAGCGUUGUUCGGAUUCACUGGGCGUAAAGGGCGCGUAGGUGGCCUUGUUAGUCAGACGUGAAACCCCCAAGCUUAACUUGGGAACUGCGUCUGAUACUGCAAGGCUUGAGUUCGGGAGAGGGAUGUGGAAUUCCAGGUGUAGCGGUGAAAUGCGUAGAUAUCUGGAGGAAUACCGGUGGCGAAGGCGGCAUCCUGGACCGGCAUUGACGCUGAGGAGCGAAAGCUAGGGGAGCAAACGGG
RNAcentral lists this ribosomal RNA (253 nucleotides) under uncultured bacterium. Its description in RNAcentral is "partial 16S ribosomal RNA". It matches the Rfam family "Bacterial small subunit ribosomal RNA", at positions 524 to 776 of the family's 1533-position model. The record is from RNAcentral.